GAGUUGUUGAGUUAACCCCUUGAACCUAGCUAAAUCUUGCACUAGCAGAUUGUUUUAUCAGAUGAAAUGCGGAACUGUGAUUUAGAGGAAUUACUUGUUGUCUCUAGGAACUGGAAAUGGGAGUUCAAACUCCUCUUAAUUAACAAAAAUUUUGGUGAUGAAAACCAUAUGGGUCGGAAUCUUGUGAUGAUUGGGUAUUACUUUCAAGUGUUAUUCAACAGUAUUUGCAAUGGAAUUCAAAUUUAGGAAUAUUGUGUUUUAUGGCAACAUUUGUGCUCUUGUUAGACAUUGCUCAGAGUAAGACCAUUUUAGAGUUGCAAUGGUGAAGCUCGCCAUGCAAUGAAUUGUAGUCAAUAUUGUUGUCAUUCUGCAUUUCCCUGCAGCACUAAUUAAGUAUCUAGAAUAAGGAUAAUUUACGCUCAUUUUAAUUGGGGCAUCCAAAAACACUGCCUCUCAGCAAAUAUAAAAC
RNAcentral lists this unclassified non-coding RNA (469 nucleotides) under Hevea brasiliensis (rubber tree). The record is from RNAcentral. Lineage: Eukaryota; Viridiplantae; Streptophyta; Magnoliopsida; Malpighiales; Euphorbiaceae.